Molecule: long non-coding RNA, 2339 nt
Filed under: Lynx pardinus (Iberian lynx)
Lineage: Eukaryota; Metazoa; Chordata; Mammalia; Carnivora; Felidae
Source: RNAcentral
ACUCUCCAGGCUCAGGUUUCCAUUCUCCCCGCUGCAAGGGGGCCAGUCACUCCUGAUUCCAUUAUCUAAAGCGCUGGAAGACCGUUGACUCCUAGGUGAUUGAGGACUGCGCCAGAAGCUGCCUCCCCUCAGCUUGGCUAAUGGAGUGAACUGUGAAAGUGACUUCCUAAUCAGAUCAGCUCUCAUUUCUAGACUCUCAGGUGGCCCAUCCCGGCAGAAGAGAGUGAAAACCAAUGCUUGUCCAACCGGGAACAGAACAGGAUGUACCUGGAGACUUGCUUCCCGGCUGGCCAGCAGAGCCUUGCCCAGUCACAACAGCAUGGUAAACACCACCAAAAACAAUGGGGACAAUACAACAGGGCUAGAGAGGAGGCAUAAGGACAUGGUUUCCAAAGUCAGUUCCCUUUAUUAAAUGUUGAAUUUUCACAGACCAGAAAUACAAAAUAAAAGUAGAAAUAGACCCCAGUUAGGAGCUACAGGCCUGAUCGCACAUGACCCCUGCUGCAGCAACUUGAACAGGAGAAGCAGCGGCUACAUCCCUAAGGUCGGGAGAGCAGGCCAAGUGUUUCACCCUGCACUGCCCUGCCCCCCACCCAAUCUCUCCCCAAAUUAUAAAGAGCCAUCCUCGGAAAGCAGUAGAGGGAAAACCCCUCCCCUCCUGCCCCAGUUGAAGUGCACAUCCCACCAGAAGAGCUUGUCCAGAUGGCACAAAAUCCAAGGACUACAUUUCAUAGGAGAAACUGGUACCAAAACACGGGUGGAGAGACUGCAGGUGUGACAGGGCAACCUCCAGAAGAGAGAAUUUCCCCCUGCUCUACUCAUCAGAUCCUGAUGCUGAGUCUUCUGAGCUGGGGGGAGUACUGGCCAGCUCCUCCUCUUCAGAGUCCUGAAAAUCAAAGGUCUCUUAAGGAGAAAAGUUGAGUCCUGGUUGCCCUCCCAGGGAGCCACUUUUCAGUGAUGGAAGGACCCCUAAUUCCCUACUCCCUCUCCCUGAGCUGCAGCACUGGCCUUCAGACCUCCAAUCUGCACUCCCUUCCCCCCUCAUCACUCUCACAGACCUACCACAGCCCCUGGCCCCCAGCCAACCACCCCUCAGGGGCCCCUCAUCCCAAACUCCUGCCUCACCUCGCUCCGCCUUCUCUUCUUUUUGCUCUUGUUCUCUCCAGAAGAGCUCUCAUCACUGGACACAAACUCUUUGCUCUUAAAGCUCUCACUCAGCUGCCUUGACGACGACUUGGAUGAUGAACCCCUCGAGGGCGUUGAUUUCUUUUCCACCUUCACCUUUACUUUCUUCUUCUUCUUUGACUUGUCCCUAUAACAGCAAGAGGGAGAAGGGUCUGGGCCUUCAGGCUCACCCACCAAAGCCAAUCCACCCUAACUUUUAACAGAACUUUUCUCACUCACGGCCGCACUGCUAUCUCACUAUGAACGCGAACAGCCAGCCAGGUCAGCCCCAAGAGCCCCAAGGGAGGGCAUCCUAAGCAAAUAACCAGAAAAAUCACAGGCCAGAGCCUGAAGCAGUUGCACUCACAGACUUAUCUGGCAUCUCUUGCUUUGUCUUUAAAAGUUCAUCUGAAUGAUGUUCCAUCGUAAUUUUUUGUUAAUUCCCCCAUACCUUUGAAUAAAACUGACCCUCAUGAAAAGGGCCCCCUUUAUCCUGUGACUUCAGCAAUUCCCUAGCAAACUGCCCAUACUUGGGUAAUUGCCUACCCAGACUUGAGGAGCACUGCCCUAUUGCAGUCAGAGCAUACUUAUUAUCUUCAGCACCCUGAUUCUCAACCUAGACCUGCAAAAAUAGAUGUCGAAAAAGCAAUCACUGGGCCAUUUUGUUCCCAACACUCACCUCUUAGAAGACUCACCCCGGCCACCUUCAUAUUCUUUCAUGGCUUUUUCAUAUUCCCUCCUGGCAUCCUCAGCCUUGCGAUCCCACUCCUGUCUCUCACGCAAACACACACACACACACAUACACACACGAAAAAAAAAAAAAGAGAUAAGAAUGAGGCCUCUUCCCUGACACAGGCAAAAUCUAUACAGAAAAGUUUCACCAAAGGCCCAUCCCUGCCCCCUCUAUCUCUGCUACCGCUCACCUCUUUCUUCUCUUUGGACAUUCCCUUCCAGAUCUCGCCUGCCUUCUUGGAAAGAUCUGUGAUACUGAUGCCGGGAUGGUCUGACUUGAUCUUCUCUCGGCUGGCGUUGAGCCACAGCAUGUAGGCAGACAUUGGCCUCUUGGGGGCAUUGGGGUCUUUGCCCUUCUUCACCUACAUAAGAACCCAAAUGCCUUCAACCAUCUAUUUCUCACAGACACCCCCAUGUUCUCCGAAAGAAAUUACUGACAACAC